Molecule: ribosomal RNA, 399 nt
Rfam family: Bacterial small subunit ribosomal RNA
AUGGGCGCAGCCCUGAUGCAGCCGACGCCCCGUGAGGGAUGACGGCCUUUCGGGUUGUAAACCUCUUUCAGUAGGGAAGAAGCGAAAGUGACGGUACCUGCAGAAGAAGCACCGGCUAACUACGUGCCAGCAGCCGCGGUAAUACGUAGGGUGCGAGCGUUAUCCGGAAUUAUUGGGCGUAAAGAGCUCGUAGGCGGUUUGUCGCGUCUGUCGUGAAAGUCCGGGGCUUAACCCCGGAUCUGCGGUGGGUACGGGCAGACUAGAGUGCAGUAGGGGAGACUGGAAUUCCUGGUGUAGCGGUGGAAUGCGCAGAUAUCAGGAGGAACACCGAUGGCGAAGGCAGGUCUCUGGGCUGUAACUGACGCUGAGGAGCGAAAGCAUGGGGAGCGAACAGGAUUA